UAGAAAUACGUGGCGAACGGCCCAGUAACACGUAGUCAACAUGCCCAGAGGACGUGGAUAACCUCGGGAAACUGAGGAUAAACCGCGAUAGGCCAUGAUUUCUGGAAUGGUUUAUGGCUGAAAUCUAUAUGGCCUCUGGAUUGGACUGCGGCCGAUCAGGCUGUUGGUGAGGUAAUGGCCCACCAAACCUAUAACCGGUACGGGCUCUGAGAGGAGGAGCCCGGAGAUGGGCACUGAGACAAGGGCCCAGGCCCUAUGGGGCGCAGCAGGCGCGAAAUCUCUGCAAUAGGCGAAAGCUUGACAGGGUUACUCUGAGUGAUUCCCGCUAAGGGGAUCUUUUGGCACCUCUAAAAAUGGUGCAGAAUAAGGGGUGGGCAAGUCUGGUGUCAGCCGCCGCGGUAAUACCAGCACCCCGAGUGGUCGGGACGAUUAUUGGGCCUAAAGCAUCCGUAGCCGGUACUGCAAGUCUUCCGUUAAAUCCACCUGCUCAACAGUUGGGCUGCGGAGGAUACUACAGCGCUAGGAGGCGGGAGAGGCAAGCGGUACUCAGUGGGUAGGGGUAAAAUCCACUGAUCCAUUGAAGACCACCAGUGGCGAAGGCGGCUUGCCAGAACGCGCUCGACGGUGAGGGAUGAAAGCUGGGGGAGCCAACCGGAUUAGAUACCCGGGUAGUCCCAGCUGUAAACGAUGCAGACUCGGUGAUGGGCUGGCCUUGUGCCAACCCAGUGCCGCAGGGAAGCCGUUAAGUCUGCCGCCUGGGGAGUACGGUCGCAUGACUGAAACUUAAAGGAAUUGGCGGGGGAGCACCACAAGGGGUGAAGCCUGCGGUUCAAUUGGAUUCAACGCCGGA
RNAcentral lists this ribosomal RNA (850 nucleotides) under uncultured archaeon. RNAcentral's name for it is "bacterial SSU rRNA". It matches the Rfam family "Archaeal small subunit ribosomal RNA", at positions 69 to 922 of the family's 1478-position model. The record is from RNAcentral.